RNAcentral lists this ribosomal RNA (253 nucleotides) under uncultured bacterium. RNAcentral's name for it is "partial 16S ribosomal RNA". It matches the Rfam family "Bacterial small subunit ribosomal RNA", at positions 524 to 776 of the family's 1533-position model. The record is from RNAcentral.
UACGAAGGGGGCUCGCGUUGUUCGGAAUUACUGGGCGUAAAGCGCGCGCAGGCGGUCUUCCAAGUCAGUGGUGAAAGCCCGGAGCUCAACUCCGGCACUGCCAUUGAAACUGUAAGACUUGAGGAUGAGAGAGGUGAGUGGAAUUCCCAGUGUAGAGGUGAAAUGCGGAGAUAGUGGGAAGAACACCGGUGGCGAAGGCGGCUCACUGGCUCAUAUCUGACGCUCAGGCGCGACAGCGUGGGGAUCAAACAGG